Molecule: unclassified non-coding RNA, 230 nt
Filed under: Hevea brasiliensis (rubber tree)
Lineage: Eukaryota; Viridiplantae; Streptophyta; Magnoliopsida; Malpighiales; Euphorbiaceae
Source: RNAcentral
UCCUUCAAGGAGAAGAUCCGCCAUGUUGGUUGUUUCUUUCCUCUUUCUUUCCGAUUCAAGCCCUUUCGACAACAAAAGAUAGAAGCGAACGCCAUAUCUAGCUUCACCAACCAAAACCCACUACUCUGUAUUCUUUAUUUCUCUCUCCAAUCCUUUCUUGUCUUGUUGGGCAGUUAUAUUUUCUCUCUUGCUCUCGCUCUCUAUAUAUUCUUGGUGUUAUUACAGUGGCA